This 262-nucleotide ribosomal RNA is filed under the name uncultured Methanolinea sp. RNAcentral describes it as "partial 16S ribosomal RNA". It matches the Rfam family "Archaeal small subunit ribosomal RNA", at positions 1077 to 1338 of the family's 1478-position model. The record is from RNAcentral. Lineage: Archaea; Methanobacteriati; Methanobacteriota; Methanomicrobia; Methanomicrobiales; Methanoregulaceae.
UCCGGGAUGGUGGGGACGACUGUUGGGACCGCCUCUGCUAAAGAGGAGGAAGGAAUGGGCAACGGUAGGUCAGCAUGCCCCGAAUUAUCCGGGCUACACGCGGGCUACAAUGGUCAGGACAAUGGGCAUCAACACCGAAAGGUGAAGGCAAUCUCUUAAACCUGUCCUUAGUUCGGAUUGUGGGCUGCAACUCGCCCACAUGAAGCUGGAAUCUGUAGUAAUCGCGUCUCAAAAUGGCGCGGUGAAUAUGUCCCUGCUCCUU